GACGAACGCUGGCGGCGUGCUUAACACAUGCAAGUCGAACGAUGACGCCCGAGCUUGCUCGGUCUGAUUAGUGGCGAACGGGUGAGUAACACGUGAGCAACCUGCCCUUCACUCUGGGAUAACCUCGGGAAAUCGGGGCUAAUACCGGAUAUGAGCUCCUGUCGCAUGGCGGGUGUUGGAAAGUUUUUCGGUGAAGGAUGGGCUCGCGGCCUAUCAGUUUGUUGGUGAGGUAGUGGCUCACCAAGGCGAUGACGGGUAGCCGGCCUGAGAGGGCGACCGGCCACACUGGGACUGAGAAACGGCCCAGACUCCUACGGGAGGCAGCAGUGGGGAAUAUUGCACAAUGGGCGAAAGCCUGAUGCAGCGACGCCGCGUGAGGGAUGACGGUCUUCGGGUUGUAAACCGCUUUCAGCAGGGAAGAAGCGAAAGUGACGGUACCUGCAGAAGAAGCGCCGGCUAACUACGUG
RNAcentral lists this ribosomal RNA (467 nucleotides) under uncultured bacterium. RNAcentral describes it as "partial 16S ribosomal RNA". It matches the Rfam family "Bacterial small subunit ribosomal RNA", at positions 28 to 507 of the family's 1533-position model. The record is from RNAcentral.